Molecule: long non-coding RNA, 1046 nt
Filed under: Phaseolus vulgaris (common bean)
Lineage: Eukaryota; Viridiplantae; Streptophyta; Magnoliopsida; Fabales; Fabaceae
Description: long non-coding RNA (PVUL_LNC004137)
Source: RNAcentral
UUGCCUUCCCACGGCUAAAGGUGCAGCUGAGACCUUAAAACUCAACAUGGCUCUUGUUCUUCUCCCUGUUUGUAGAAACACCAUCACAUGGCUCCGCAAGCACCGUCCCAUCAACUCUGUCAUUCCGUUCAACGACAACAUCAACUUCCACAAGGUACACACAGGUUCUCUAAUCUCCCCUUCAUUUCAUGCAAGUUGUUUAUACUUCUUAAGGCAUAAUUCUAAAAAUUAUUCAUAUUAAACUUUGAUUAAUUAAUAUCGAUAAACAAAACAACAUUGAAUAUUGUAUGAAAGUUAGAUAAGAUGUCAUAUUCACUGAAAUGAUUCGGCAAUAUAUAGUUGUUAGAUGCAUGUAUACGACCACCAACUCCUUCUGAGUUUUGGUAAACAAGUUCACUAAAUGAUAGGAGAAUAUAUUAUUGUUAGAUGCCUGUAUGACCACUGAUCCUUUUGAUUUUUGGUAAAAAAAAAUUGGUUCAAGUAUUGAUUAUCAGACCAACAAGAUGGAUGUGUAUGACAUUUUUGUAUUUAUCUAAAUUAAGGUCAUAAACAGUUGAACUUAAGUCUACUAAAAUAUCAAAGAUUGAUUCCAGAGACCCCAUUUGGGAUAUAUCUACAAAUGAUGACGAGUCUCUGUGUUGAAUUAAUUGCAGAUAUUCAAUCUUUUCAUACUCUAGAUUAACGUGUGAGGAAAUAUGUAUAUAGAGAGGGGACUAUCUUUAAUUAUUGAUCGGACUUUUGAGAUUGAAUUCCUACCAAAAUUCUAAGAAAAACAAGCAAAAGCACCUUGUGCCAUUGACAAUAACAAUGAUAUGAAAAAACGAAGUUUUUGGGUUACUUAUGCAGGUUAUAGCAGGAGGAAUAGUGGUGGGUGUGAUAUUGCACGGAGGAACGCACCUUGCGUGUGAUUUCCCAAGAAUUAGUGAGUCAGACAGAUCAAUAUUCCGGCAAACAAUUGCCGCAGGAUUUGGGUACCAUCGACCAACGUACGCAGAAAUUUUGGCCACGACGGAGGUGGCAAGUGGGAUAGCCAUGGUGGUGUUAAU